RNAcentral lists this ribosomal RNA (317 nucleotides) under Mesodinium pulex. Its description in RNAcentral is "partial Bacterial large subunit ribosomal RNA". It matches the Rfam family "Bacterial large subunit ribosomal RNA", at positions 2145 to 2461 of the family's 2925-position model. The record is from RNAcentral. Lineage: Eukaryota; Ciliophora; Litostomatea; Cyclotrichida; Mesodiniidae.
AGGUGGUAGGCUUUGAAGCAGGAACGCCAGUUUCUGUGGAGCCUCCCUUGAGAUACCACCCUUCGCACUCUUGAUGUCUAACCGCGGUCCGUUAUCCGGAUCCGGGACCCUGCGUGGCGGGUAGUUUGACUGGGGCGGUCGCCUCCUAAAGCGUAACGGAGGCGCGCGAAGGUUGGCUCAGAGCGGUCGGAAAUCGCUCGUUGAGUGCAAUGGCAGAAGCCAGCCUGACUGCAAGACUGACAAGUCGAGCAGAGUCGAAAGACGGCCAUAGUGAUCCGGUGGUCCCAAGUGGGAGGGCCAUCGCUCAACGGAUAAAA